RNAcentral lists this ribosomal RNA (348 nucleotides) under uncultured bacterium. RNAcentral's name for it is "partial 16S ribosomal RNA". It matches the Rfam family "Bacterial small subunit ribosomal RNA", at positions 338 to 703 of the family's 1533-position model. The record is from RNAcentral.
CCUACGGGAGGCAGCAGUGGGGAAUAUUGCACAAUGGGGGAAACCCUGAUGCAGCGACGCCGCGUGAGUGAAGAAGUAUCUCGGGACGUAAAGCUCUAUCAGCAGGGAAGAAAAAGACGGUACCUGACUAAGAAGACGCGGCUAACGACGAGCCCGCAGCCGCGGUAAUACGGAGGGGGGAAGCGUUCUCCGGAUUUACGGGGGUGAAAGGGAGCGUAGACGGCAGCACAAGUAGGGAGUGAAAUCCCGGGGCUUCACCCCGGAACUGCUUUGGAAACUGUGCGGCUGGAGUGCAGGAGGGGUAAGCGCAAUUCCUAUUGUAGCGGUGAACUGCUUAGAUAUUAGGCG